CUCCUACGGGAGGCAGCAGUGGGGAAUUUUCCGCAAUGGGCGAAAGCCUGACGGAGCAACGCCGCGUGAGGGAUGAAGGCCUCUGGGCUGUAAACCUCUUUUCUCAAGGAAGAAGAUAUGACGGUACUUGAGGAAUAAGCCACGGCUAAUUCCGUGCCAGCAGCCGCGGUAAU
RNAcentral lists this ribosomal RNA (173 nucleotides) under uncultured Prochlorococcus sp. Its description in RNAcentral is "partial 16S ribosomal RNA". It matches the Rfam family "Bacterial small subunit ribosomal RNA", at positions 336 to 524 of the family's 1533-position model. The record is from RNAcentral. Lineage: Bacteria; Bacillati; Cyanobacteriota; Cyanophyceae; Synechococcales; Prochlorococcaceae.